Molecule: ribosomal RNA, 497 nt
Filed under: uncultured bacterium
Lineage: Bacteria
Description: partial 16S ribosomal RNA
Rfam family: Bacterial small subunit ribosomal RNA
Source: RNAcentral
GACGAACGCUGGCGGCGUGCCUAAUACAUGCAAGUUGAGCGAUGAAGAUUGGUUCUUGCACCAAUUUGAAGAGCAGCGAACGGGUGAGUAACGCGUGGGGAAUCUGCCUUUGAGCGGGGGACAACAUUUGGAAACGAAUGCUAAUACCGCAUAACAACUUUAAACAUAAGUUUUAAGUUUGAAAGAUGCAAUUGCAUCACUCAAAGAUGAUCCCGCGUUGUAUUAGCUAGUUGGUGAGGUAAAGGCUCACCAAGGCGAUGAUACAUAGCCGACCUGAGAGGGUGAUCGGCCACAUUGGGACUGAGACACGGCCCAAACUCCUACGGGAGGCAGCAGUAGGGAAUCGUCGGCAAUGGACGAAAGUCUGACCGAGCAACGCCGCGUGAGUGAAGAAGGUUUUCGGAUCGUAAAACUCUGUUGGUAGAGAAGAACGUUGGUGAGAGUGGAAAGCUCAUCAAGUGACGGUAACUACCCAGAAAGGGACGGCUAACUACGUG